AUGGAGAUCAACCCCAACAAAUUCAUCGACAUUCAGCGCAAGUGGAGAGUUCCAUACACCGGAAAAGAGUACGACUCCUUGACUGAUGUUGCAGCCAGCGUCACCCACCCAUUCUACAAAGGCAUGAAGAACAAGAUCAACACGCAGGAAGACUACAAACUGUGGGGGACCAGCGAGCUGCCAGACAACCUCAUCGAGUACGCAGGAGUAGAUGCGUACGCCGCGUACAAGUCAUGGUUCAUGAUCGACUACAUCACAGAUGGUUUAGAAUAUGCGAAAGAGCGGGAGGCUGAAAACUUCUACGACCGCCCCUAUUGCCCCUUUAUGGGAUGA
RNAcentral lists this ribosomal RNA (333 nucleotides) under Triticum aestivum (bread wheat). RNAcentral describes it as "partial small subunit ribosomal RNA". Lineage: Eukaryota; Viridiplantae; Streptophyta; Magnoliopsida; Poales; Poaceae. The record is from RNAcentral.